AAUAUUGGUCGAUGGAGGCAACUCUGACCCAGCCAUGCCGCGUGCAGGAUGACUGCCCUAUGGGUUGUAAACUGCUUUUGUCCAGGAAUAAACCUAAAUACGUGUAUUUAGCUGAAUGUACUGGAAGAAUAGGGAUCUGCUACCUCCGUGCCAGCAGCCGCGGUAAUACGGAGGAUCCGAGCGUUAUCGGGAUUUAUUGGGUUUAAAGGGUGCGUAGGCGGCCCGUUAAGUCAGGGGUGAAAGACGGCAGCUCAACUGUCGCAGUGCCUUUGAUACUGACGGGCUUGAAUGCGGAUGAGGUAGGCGGAAUGAGACAAGUAGCGGUGAAAUGCAUAGAUAUGUCUCAGAACUCCGAUUGCGAAGGCAGCUUACUAAGCCGUGAUUGACGCUGAUGCACGAAAGCGUGGGGAUCAAACA
Molecule: ribosomal RNA, 417 nt
Filed under: uncultured bacterium
Lineage: Bacteria
Description: partial 16S ribosomal RNA
Rfam family: Bacterial small subunit ribosomal RNA
Source: RNAcentral